RNAcentral lists this ribosomal RNA (429 nucleotides) under Gemmatimonadota bacterium. Its description in RNAcentral is "Gemmatimonadetes bacterium partial 16S ribosomal RNA". It matches the Rfam family "Bacterial small subunit ribosomal RNA", at positions 355 to 776 of the family's 1533-position model. The record is from RNAcentral. Lineage: Bacteria; Pseudomonadati; Gemmatimonadota.
UGGGGAAUUUUCGGCAAUGGACGAAAGCCUGAUCCAGCAACGCCGCGUGAGUGAAGAAGGCUUUCGGGUCGUAAAACUCUUUCGUUAGAGAAGAAAAAGGGUGUUAGAACAUGAAACUCCCAUGACGGUACCUAACUAGAAAGCCACGGCUAACUACGUGCCAGCAGCCGCGGUAAUACGUAGGUUGCAAGCGUUGUCCGGAAUUAUUGGGCGUAAAGCGAGCGCAGGCGGUUGCUUAAGUCUGAUGUGAAAGCCCCCGGCUUAACCGGGGAAGGUCAUUGGAAACUGGGGGACUUGAGUGCGGAAGAGGGGAGUGGAAUUCCAUGUGUAGCGGUGAAAUGCGUAGAUAUAUGGAGGAACACCGGUGGCGAAGGCGGCUCUCUGGUCUGUAACUGACGCUGAGGCUCGAAAGCGUGGGGAGCAAACAGG